RNAcentral lists this ribosomal RNA (809 nucleotides) under Curvularia papendorfii. Its description in RNAcentral is "LSU rRNA". It matches the Rfam family "Eukaryotic large subunit ribosomal RNA", at positions 82 to 909 of the family's 3401-position model. Lineage: Eukaryota; Fungi; Ascomycota; Dothideomycetes; Pleosporales; Pleosporaceae. The record is from RNAcentral.
AGUAACGGCGAGUGAAGCGGCAACAGCUCAAAUUUGAAAUCUGGCUCUUUCAGAGUCCGAGUUGUAAUUUGCAGAGGGCGCUUUGGCUUUGGCAGCGGUCCAAGUUCCUUGGAACAGGACGUCACAGAGGGUGAGAAUCCCGUACGUGGUCGCUAGCUAUUGCCGUGUAAAGCCCCUUCGACGAGUCGAGUUGUUUGGGAAUGCAGCUCUAAAUGGGAGGUAAAUUUCUUCUAAAGCUAAAUAUUGGCCAGAGACCGAUAGCGCACAAGUAGAGUGAUCGAAAGAUGAAAAGCACUUUGGAAAGAGAGUCAAACAGCACGUGAAAUUGUUGAAAGGGAAGCGCUUGCAGCCAGACUUGCUUGCAGUUGCUCAUCCGGGCUUUUGCCCGGUGCACUCUUCUGUAGGCAGGCCAGCAUCAGUUUGGGCGGUGGGAUAAAGGUCUCUGUCACGUACCUCUCUUCGGGGAGGCCUUAUAGGGGAGACGACAUACCACCAGCCUGGACUGAGGUCCGCGCAUCUGCUAGGAUGCUGGCGUAAUGGCUGUAAGCGGCCCGUCUUGAAACACGGACCAAGGAGUCUAACAUCUAUGCGAGUGUUUGGGUGUCAAGCCCGAGCGCGUAAUGAAAGUGAACGGAGGUGGGAACCCGCAAGGGCGCACCAUCGACCGAUCCUGAAGUUUACGGAAGGAUUUGAGUAAGAGCAUGGCUGUUGGGACCCGAAAGAUGGUGAACUAUGCUUGAAUAGGGUGAAGCCAGAGGAAACUCUGGUGGAGGCUCGCAGCGGUUCUGACGUGCAAAUCGAUCGUCAAA